CUGUGCAGCUGUUCCACAGCUGCUGGCCCUCCGGUCACCCCCCACCCCCAUCACUUCCCUGUUGAAGGGGGCUCAGGGAGAGUUGAAAGGUGCUACAUCAAUGCACAACAUUUCCUCUCCUGUCCCCUCAGCUGUGCAGCUCAGCUGUGUGUCCUCUGGCACCUACAAAAUCAAACACCUGCCAUCCAGAUGUUUGUACCUACAGGCUGGAGAAGCUGGCUACAGCAAGUCCUUUAGAAUGGAGACAGGUAUUUAGUGGAGGGCAAGAUUUAAUGGAAUUCUUGGCCUGAAAAGACUUGGGCUUUCUACCUUGCUACUUGAUAUCAAGAAUUUUCAUGGCUAAGCUUUCUCUUCACUGGACUACAGGGGCAACUUCGAAAGCAAUAUGCUGAUAUGGAUAAGCAACUAGAUCCCUGAGUUAUUGGUUGAAGGAAAACUCCUACCAAGCCACCUUGGACUGCUAGUCAGUGAAAAUUUAAUUUUUGUUGUGUUAAGACACCAAGGUUAGGAGUUGGCCUGUGCCAACCACCAGCAAUAAUUAUCCUAAUAGGUUGGUGUUAGGCUAGUUGUUUCCAGGAAAAGUAUUCUAGCAAGCAACAGCUAUUCUUCAGAAUAGGCUGAUGGAAGCCUGUUUCUGCCUAGUCUUGCACAGUCUCCACAAGUUUUCACAAGCAUCCUUUGUGGGAGCCUGGAGUACUAACCAAUCCCUAAAGGACAUCUCUGGAUUGCUGAGGUCCCUGCAGCUUGAUGAUUGGAAAGUAACUUCCUCAAUGUCCAGGGAGCUCUUACUGAAUCUACCAAUAUUCUGGCUACAUAGGCACAACCAGUGGAUCUGACUGCAUUGAUUCAGUCAACAAAUGUUUACUAUGUACUUAUAAAGGUCCAGACAGUCUUCUGGGAGCUGGCAUGUAUAGUGGCAUUUCACCUCUUUCAUGGUCCUGCUCCCAUCCUCCCAAGAUGGCAAUUAUAUAACAUGAUGGAAAGCACAUACUCAGGAACUGAGCUAGGUACCGGACCACAUCAAGGACCUCCUCCAACUCCUCAAGAACCCAUCAGAUAAGAAUUCUUCUCUUGCUCUUAUAGAUAAGGAGCCUGACUUACAGAGAGCCUCCCGGUGACAAGGCCAGGAAGUGCAGAGACUUCUCAGCUCCAGACUCCCUAUCUUCUGUACUCUUUUUGCUAUACAUGGAUAUUUCAAGAUUCCUUCCCAAAUUAGUCACACGAGAUUCUCAGGAUGUUCUCUCCAUGGUCAAGUUCAUCCAGUAGGCAGAGAACUUUCUUACUAGUCACAGGACAGCUGAUUCAGAUUCUGGCCCAAGAAUCAUGAAAUCCAGACUGCAUCGUCGUGAUCUCAUGAGAAAACAUUUCAUACACUCUUUGUCCGUGGCCACAUAACUAGCUCUGGAACCUGACUGCGUACACACCCCCUGCCUCUCCUUAUGAUGCAUUCACUGAAGGGUCUUCCUGAGCAUCAUCUUUUACUAAUCACCACAAACAGAAUUCUAUUUGGUGGAAGAAACUAAAGAGGCUAAGGAAUCUGCUCACACCCCUAGAAUCACUGAGGAACAGAGCUGGGUGCAAAUCUGAGCACCCCAGUUCUAAGACCUGUGCUUGAACCUGAUCAUUGGAGAGUUCCCCCCUUCUGAGGACCUACACAUUACCUGACAGGGUUCCCGCCUACUUACAUUCUGUUCUGUUGCUUAUUACUUCAGAGCACACUACCCGUCAAACAUGGUGCCAUAGGAUUUGCUUUCUCAAUUCUGAGAGUGAGAAAUCAGAGAGGGCACAUUGGGAAUGACUCUUCCUUCUCCAUGAUGUCUCGGGCUUCAGCUGGGAUGGCACAGAUGGCUGCAGAUUGGAAGAGCCAGGCUGGGGGAUCCACUUCCAAGAUGGCCUCUUCACUCCCAGAUCUGGUGCCUUGACUGGGAUGGCUGUCACCUGGGGCAUCGACUAAUGUCUUCUUUUAGUCAUGUUGGUGACACAGAGGGAAUUCUUACAUGGAGACUCAGGGCUCCAAGAGUGAGUGCCCCAGUGAAAGUGGAACUUCAUCCCUUUACAACUAGCCUUGGACAUCACCUAGCCUCCCUUUUGCUAGCCACUACUAGCCCAGAUGUCUCAGACUCACUCAUAGCUAAGGGGAGGGGACACUUCCACCUCUCAGUAGAGGACUGUCAAAGCCCUGGGUGUUAUAUGCAAUGGAUAAAUAACUGAA
Long non-coding RNA from Lutra lutra (Eurasian river otter), 2212 nucleotides. RefSeq lists it as uncharacterized. The transcript is spliced from 4 exons. The record is from RefSeq and is a predicted model, not a curated record. NCBI's taxonomy places the organism in Eukaryota, Metazoa, Chordata, Mammalia, Carnivora, Mustelidae.